GACGAACGCUGGCGGCGCGCUUAACACAUGCAAGUCGAACGGAAAGGCCUGCUUUCCCUUGUGGAUUGCGGGUACUCGAGUGGCGAACGGGUGAGUAACACGUGAGUGAUCCGCCCCCAACUUGGGUAUAAGCCUGGGAAACUGGGUCUAAUUCCCGAUAGGACUGCAGGGUGGUGCCUGUGGUGGAAAACGAUUUUCUAGUGGUUGGGGAUGAGCUCGCGGCCUAUCAGCUUGUUGGUGGGGUAAUGGCCUACCAAGGCGGCGACGGGUAGCCGGCCUGAGAGGGUGGACGGCCACAUUGGGACUGAGAUACAGCCCAGACUCCUACGGGAGGCAGCAGUGGGGAAUAUUGCACAAUGGGCGGAAGCCUGAUGCAGCGACGCCGCGUGGGGGAUGACGGCCUUCGGGUUGUAAACUCCUUUCGACCGCGAGGAAGCCACCUGGUUGGAAGGGUGGUGACGGUAGUGGUAGAAGAAGCACCGGCUAACUACGUG
This 494-nucleotide ribosomal RNA is filed under the name uncultured bacterium. RNAcentral's name for it is "partial 16S ribosomal RNA". It matches the Rfam family "Bacterial small subunit ribosomal RNA", at positions 28 to 507 of the family's 1533-position model. The record is from RNAcentral.